UGGGAGGUAAAUUUCUCCUAAGGCUAAAUAUCGGCGAGAGACCGAUAGCGAACAAGUACCGUGAGGGAAAGAUGAAAAGAACUUUGAAAAGAGAGUAAAAUAGUACGUGAAAUUGUUAAAAGGGAAACGAUUGAAGUCAGUCGUACCGACGAGAAAUCAGCUUAUCGUGUGCGAACUUGUGGGCGUGCGUGAGUUUCGGCCUCGCUGUUUGCAUGUUUGUGCGCUUUGGGUGUGCUUUUUCGUAUGGUAGGCCAACGUCAGUUUCAAUCACUAUAAAAUGACCGGCGGAAUGUAGCUUCGAUUUCGGUUGAAGUGUUAUAGCCUCUGGUAGAUGUGGCGAUUGGGACUGAGGAUUGCAACGAAUACCCUUUGGGCUAUCCGUCUGGCCUCUGAAAGUUGCUUAGGUGCCGAAAGCUUGCUUACGGUCAUCGAAAUUGACGGUCAAUAGGUUAGAACGUGAUUACAUUCGUUAAGGACGUUGGCGUAAUGGCUUUAAACGACCCGUCUUGAAACACGGACCAAGGAGUCUAACAUAUAUGCGAGUGUUCGGGUGUGUAAACCCCUACGCGUAAUGAAAGUAAUUUAGGUGGGAUCACUUUUUGUGUGCACCAUCGACC
RNAcentral lists this ribosomal RNA (617 nucleotides) under uncultured Glomeromycotina. RNAcentral describes it as "eukaryotic LSU rRNA". It matches the Rfam family "Eukaryotic large subunit ribosomal RNA", at positions 293 to 766 of the family's 3401-position model. Lineage: Eukaryota; Fungi; Glomeromycota. The record is from RNAcentral.